UGCNGCGUGCAGGAAGACUGCCCUAUGGGUUGUAAACUGCUUUUAUACAGGAAGAAACCUUUUCACGUGUGAAAAGCUGACGGUACUGUAAGAAUAAGGAUCGGCUAACUCCGUGCCAGCAGCCGCGGUAAUACGGAGGAUCCAAGCGUUAUCCGGAAUCAUUGGGUUUAAAGGGUCCGUAGGUGGAUAAUUAAGUCAGGGGUGAAAGUUUGCGGCUCAACCGUAAAAUUGCCUUUGAUACUGGUUAUCUUGAAUUAUUGUGAAGUAGUUAGAAUAUGUAGUGUAGCGGUGAAAUGCAUAGAUAUUACAUAGAAUACCAAUUGCGAAGGCAGAUUACUAACAAUAUAUUGACACUGAUGGACGAAAGCGUGGGGAGCGAACAGGAUUAGAUACCCUGGUAG
Molecule: ribosomal RNA, 401 nt
Filed under: Winogradskyella sp. Asnod1G09
Lineage: Bacteria; Pseudomonadati; Bacteroidota; Flavobacteriia; Flavobacteriales; Flavobacteriaceae
Description: bacterial SSU rRNA
Rfam family: Bacterial small subunit ribosomal RNA
Source: RNAcentral